GCGGCCAACUUUUUGUUUAGAGAGCUUGCGCGCUUGAACUUCAAAUGCAUUGCAUGAAAAAUAGACAUCGGCGAGGUAAUCGCAAUGUCAGCAACCGCAUGGCGAGAAUAUCUUUUUUUUUGAUUUUUUUUUUAUUUUUUGCAUUAGUGUUGUUGUUUGUAAUUGAAAUUGUGUUUGUUGUAUGAGGUUAUAUGUAGUUGUUGCGUUUUGUAUUGCGUUUGCGUUCACAUUUGUCGCUGGCUGUUUUGUAUAUCGUAGUAUAACAGUUCUAGCUGCCCCGUCGGUCGGUUUCAGUCGUUUGUUGGUUACGACGAAUUUUCAUUUUAUAUCGAACAGCGCAGCAGUGACGACGAUAAAGUCUGUGUGUGGUGCUUUUUGUUAGUAUCUCUCGCGGCGCACAAAGAAAAAAAAAUAUUGUAUACACCCAGAAAAUAUAUUUAAAAAAAAAAAAUAUAUAUAUAUAUAAAUUUAUCAAACUUCAGUUCAAGCUAUGUUGUAAGCUGCAGCUCAGCGUCAUUUGCAGUUCGUGUAGCAGAGUGUAAAACACUUGCGCUCUCUCUCUCUCUCUCUCCUUUUUCUCUCAG
RNAcentral lists this unclassified non-coding RNA (584 nucleotides) under Drosophila virilis. RNAcentral's name for it is "GJ11733". Lineage: Eukaryota; Metazoa; Arthropoda; Insecta; Diptera; Drosophilidae. The record is from RNAcentral.